Molecule: non-coding RNA, 349 nt
Organism: Pelobates cultripes (western spadefoot toad)
Lineage: Eukaryota; Metazoa; Chordata; Amphibia; Anura; Pelobatidae
Source: the annotation of a GenBank genome assembly
GUCUGAUCAAGCGCCAAUAGUGUUAUAUUUGGAGGAGUCCUUCAAGUCGAAUCCAUGCAGGCCAUGGAGACUCAGUGACCAAUUAGUCACAGAGCUUGAAAAUAAGACGCUUGCUGAAAAAGAGCUUAAUAACUAUUACAGGGAAAAUUCAAAUCCAAAUGUACUUGUUACUUCAUUAUGGAAAGCUCAUAAAGCUGUUUUGCGAGGACACUUAAUACAGAGGGCAUCAUAUUUGAAGAAAAUUCGAUCGAAAAAUUUAAGAGAAUUGGAAAAAGAAUUGUAUAACUUAAAUCUGGCAAACAAAUUUGGCGCUUCCUCGUCCCUCCCUGCAAUGAUCCUCGUUGUUAAA